RNAcentral lists this ribosomal RNA (497 nucleotides) under uncultured bacterium. Its description in RNAcentral is "partial 16S ribosomal RNA". It matches the Rfam family "Bacterial small subunit ribosomal RNA", at positions 28 to 507 of the family's 1533-position model. The record is from RNAcentral.
GACGAACGCUGGCGGCGUGCCUAAUACAUGCAAGUAGAACGCUGAAACUUGGUGCUUGCACCGAGCGGAUGAGUUGCGAACGGGUGAGUAACGCGUAGGUAACCUGCCUGGUAGCGGGGGAUAACUAUUGGAAACGAUAGCUAAUACCGCAUAAGAGUAGAUGUUGCAUGACAUUUGCUUAAAAGGUGCAAUUGCACCACUACCAGAUGGACCUGCGUUGUAUUAGCUAGUUGGUGGGGUAACGGCUCACCAAGGCGACGAUACAUAGCCGACCUGAGAGGGUGAUCAGCCACACUGGGAAUGAGACACGGCCCAGACUCCGACGGGAGGCAGCAGUAGGGAAUCUACGGCAAUGGACGGAAGUCUGACCGAGCAACGCCGCGUGAGUGAAGAAGGGUUUCAGAUCGUAAAGCUCUGUUGUAAGAGAAGAACGAGUGUGAGAGUGGAAAGUUCACACUGUGACGGUAUCUUACCAGAAAGGGACGGCUAACUACGUG